UUCGAUAUGGCUCAGAUUGAACGCUGGCGGGAUGCUUUACACAUGCAAAUUCGAACGGCAGCACGGACUUCGGUCUGGUGGCGAGUGGCGAACGGGGGUGAGUAAUGUAUCGGAACGUGCCUAGUAGCGGGGGAUAACUACGCGAAAGCGUAGCUAAUACAUACGCCCUUCGGGGAAAGCUGAGGCCUUCGGGCCUCGCAUAUUAGAGCGGCCGAUAUCGGAUUAGCUAGUUGGUGGGGUAACGGCUCACCAAGGCGACGAUCCGUAGCUGGUUUGAGAGGACGACCAGCCACACUGGGACUGAGACACGGCCCAGACUCCUACAGGAGGCAGCAGUGGGGAAUUUUGGACAAUGGGGGGAAACCCUGAUCCAGCCAUCCCGCGUGUGCGAUGAAGGCCUUCCGGGUUUAGCAAGCACUUUUGGCAGGAAAGAAACGGCACAGGAUAAUACCCCGUGCAGCUGACGAACACCUGCAGAAUAAGCACCGGCUAACUACGUGCCAGCAGCCGCGGUAAUACGUAGGGUGCAAGCGUUAAUCGGGAAUUACUGGGCGUAAAGCGUGCGCAGGCGGUUCAGGAAGAAAGAUGUGAAAUCCAGAGCUUAACUUUGGAACUGCAUUUUUAACUACAAAGCUGAAGUGUGUCCAGAGGAGGCGAAGACCGCGUGUAGCAGUAGAAAUGCGUGAAUGUGCGGAGGAGGAACACCAGUCGGCGAAGGCAACCUCCUGGGGAUAUUUCACUAAAACGCUCAUGCACAGCGUGGGAGCAAACAGGAUUAGAUACCCUGGUGUCCACGCCCUAAACGAUGUCAACUAGCUCAUUGGGACCUUUGGGCCUUGGUAAGCGCAGCUUCAACGCGACGAAGUUGACCGCCUGGGAGUACGGUCGCAAGAUUAAAACUCGAGAAUUGACGGGGACCCGCACAAGCGGUGAUGAUGUGGAUUAAUUCGAUACAGCACGAAAAAACCUUACCUACCCUUGACAUGUCUGGAAUCCGAAGAUUUGAAGUGCUCCGCAAGAGAACCGGAACACAGGUGCUGCAUGGCUGUCGUCAGCUCGUGUCAUUGAGAUGUUGGGUUAAGUCCCGCAACGAGCGCAACCCUUGUCAUUAGUUGCUACGAAGGCACUCUAAUGAGACUGCCGGUGACAAACCGGAGGAAGGUGGGGACGGUAUCAGUCCUCAUGGCCCUUAUGGGUAGGGCUUUACCCCGUCAUACAAUGGUCGGGACAGAGGGUCGCCAACCCGCGAAAGGGGAGCCAAUCUGACCGAUCGUAGUCCGGAUCGCAGUCUGCAACUCGACUGCAUGGGGUCGAAUCGCUAGUAAUCGCGGAUCAGCGUAAUAUUAUGAUGAAUACGUUCCCGGGUCUUGUACACACCGCCCGUCGCACCAUGGGAGUGGGUUUUUUACCAAGUAGUUAACCUAACCAUACAGGAGGCGAUUACCACGAUAGGAUUCAUGACUGGGGUGAAGUCAUACUGGUAG
This 1484-nucleotide ribosomal RNA is filed under the name uncultured Bordetella sp. RNAcentral's name for it is "partial 16S-23S ribosomal RNA intergenic spacer". It matches the Rfam family "Bacterial small subunit ribosomal RNA". The record is from RNAcentral. Lineage: Bacteria; Pseudomonadati; Pseudomonadota; Betaproteobacteria; Burkholderiales; Alcaligenaceae.